UUAAGUUAUUAAGGGCGCACGGUGGAUGCCUUGGCACUAGAAGCCGAUGAAGGACGUUACUAACGACGAUAUGCUUUGGGGAGCUGUAAGUAAGCUUUGAUCCAGAGAUUUCCGAAUGGGGAAACCCAGCAUGAGUUAUGUCAUGUUAUCGAUAUGUGAAUACAUAGCAUAUCAGAAGGCACACCCGGAGAACUGAAACAUCUUAGUACCCGGAGGAAGAGAAAGAAAAUUCGAUUCCCUUAGUAGCGGCGAGCGAAACGGGAAGAGCCCAAACCAACAAGCUUGCUUGUUGGGGUUGUAGGACACUCUAUACGGAGUUACAAAGGACGACAUUAGACGAAUCAUCUGGAAAGAUGAAUCAAAGAAGGUAAUAAUCCUGUAGUCGAAAAUGUUGUCUCUCUUGAGUGGAUCCUGAGUACGACGGAGCACGUGAAAUUCCGUCGGAAUCUGGGAGGACCAUCUCCUAAGGCUAAAUACUCUCUAGUGACCGAUAGUGAACCAGUACCGUGAGGGAAAGGUGAAAAGCACCCCGGAAGGGGAGUGAAAUAGAACCUGAAACCGUGUGCUUACAAGUAGUCAGAGCCCGUUAAUGGGUGAUGGCGUGCCUUUUGUAGAAUGAACCGGCGAGUUACGAUUUGAUGCAAGGUUAAGCAGUAAAUGUGGAGCCGUAGCGAAAGCGAGUCUGAAUAGGGCGUUUAGUAUUUGGUCGUAGACCCGAAACCAGGUGAUCUACCCUUGGUCAGGUUGAAGUUCAGGUAACACUGAAUGGAGGACCGAACCGACUUACGUUGAAAAGUGAGCGGAUGAACUGAGGGUAGCGGAGAAAUUCCAAUCGAACCUGGAGAUAGCUGGUUCUCUCCGAAAUAGCUUUAGGGCUAGCCUCAAGUGAUGAUUAUUGGAGGUAGAGCACUGUUUGGACGAGGGGCCCCUCUCGGGUUACCGAAUUCAGACAAACUCCGAAUGCCAAUUAAUUUAACUUGGGAGUCAGAACAUGGGUGAUAAGGUCCGUGUUCGAAAGGGAAACAGCCCAGACCACCAGCUAAGGUCCCAAAAUAUAUGUUAAGUGGAAAAGGAUGUGGCGUUGCCCAGACAACUAGGAUGUUGGCUUAGAAGCAGCCAUCAUUUAAAGAGUGCGUAAUAGCUCACUAGUCGAGUGACACUGCGCCGAAAAUGUACCGGGGCUAAACAUAUUACCGAAGCUGUGGAUUGUCCUUUGGACAAUGGUAGGAGAGCGUUCUAAGGGCGUUGAAGCAUGAUCGUAAGGACAUGUGGAGCGCUUAGAAGUGAGAAUGCCGGUGUGAGUAGCGAAAGACGGGUGAGAAUCCCGUCCACCGAUUGACUAAGGUUUCCAGAGGAAGGCUCGUCCGCUCUGGGUUAGUCGGGUCCUAAGCUGAGGCCGACAGGCGUAGGCGAUGGAUAACAGGUUGAUAUUCCUGUACCACCUAUAAUCGUUUUAAUCGAUGGGGGGACGCAGUAGGAUAGGCGAAGCGUGCGAUUGGAUUGCACGUCUAAGCAGUAAGGCUGAGUAUUAGGCAAAUCCGGUACUCGUUAAGGCUGAGCUGUGAUGGGGAGAAGACAUUGUGUCUUCGAGUCGUUGAUUUCACACUGCCGAGAAAAGCCUCUAGAUAGAAAAUAGGUGCCCGUACCGCAAACCGACACAGGUAGUCAAGAUGAGAAUUCUAAGGUGAGCGAGCGAACUCUCGUUAAGGAACUCGGCAAAAUGACCCCGUAACUUCGGGAGAAGGGGUGCUCUUUAGGGUUAACGCCCAGAAGAGCCGCAGUGAAUAGGCCCAAGCGACUGUUUAUCAAAAACACAGGUCUCUGCUAAACCGUAAGGUGAUGUAUAGGGGCUGACGCCUGCCCGGUGCUGGAAGGUUAAGAGGAGUGGUUAGCUUCUGCGAAGCUACGAAUCGAAGCCCCAGUAAACGGCGGCCGUAACUAUAACGGUCCUAAGGUAGCGAAAUUCCUUGUCGGGUAAGUUCCGACCCGCACGAAAGGCGUAACGAUUUGGGCACUGUCUCAACGAGAGACUCGGUGAAAUCAUAGUACCUGUGAAGAUGCAGGUUACCCGCGACAGGACGGAAAGACCCCGUGGAGCUUUACUGUAGCCUGAUAUUGAAAUUCGGCACAGCUUGUACAGGAUAGGUAGGAGCCUUUGAAACGUGAGCGCUAGCUUACGUGGAGGCGCUGGUGGGAUACUACCCUAGCUGUGUUGGCUUUCUAACCCGCACCACUUAUCGUGGUGGGAGACAGUGUCAGGCGGGCAGUUUGACUGGGGCGGUCGCCUCCUAAAAGGUAACGGAGGCGCUCAAAGGUUCCCUCAGAAUGGUUGGAAAUCAUUCAUAGAGUGUAAAGGCAUAAGGGAGCUUGACUGCGAGACCUACAAGUCGAGCAGGGUCGAAAGACGGACUUAGUGAUCCGGUGGUUCCGCAUGGAAGGGCCAUCGCUCAACGGAUAAAAGCUACCCCGGGGAUAACAGGCUUAUCUCCCCCAAGAGUUCACAUCGACGGGGAGGUUUGGCACCUCGAUGUCGGCUCAUCGCAUCCUGGGGCUGUAGUCGGUCCCAAGGGUUGGGCUGUUCGCCCAUUAAAGCGGUACGCGAGCUGGGUUCAGAACGUCGUGAGACAGUUCGGUCCCUAUCCGUCGUGGGCGUAGGAAAUUUGAGAGGAGCUGUCCUUAGUACGAGAGGACCGGGAUGGACAUACCUCUGGUGUACCAGUUGUCGUGCCAACGGCAUAGCUGG
This 2743-nucleotide ribosomal RNA is filed under the name Staphylococcus aureus W32014. RNAcentral describes it as "bacterial LSU rRNA". It matches the Rfam family "Bacterial large subunit ribosomal RNA". Lineage: Bacteria; Bacillati; Bacillota; Bacilli; Caryophanales; Staphylococcaceae. The record is from RNAcentral.